UACGGAGGGUGCAAGCGUUGCUCGGAAUUAUUGGGCGUAAAGGGUAGGUAGGUGGUCUCAUUUGUCUGGGGUGAAAGCCUUGAGCUUAACUCAAGAAGUGCCCCAGAAACGGUGAGACUAGAGUCUUGGAGAGGGUCGUGGAAUUCCCGGUGUAGCGGUGAAAUGCGUAGAGAUCGGGAGGAACACCAGAGGCGAAAGCGGCGACCUGGACAAGCACUGACGCUGAGACGCGAAAGCGUGGGGAGCAAACAGG
This 253-nucleotide ribosomal RNA is filed under the name uncultured bacterium. RNAcentral's name for it is "partial 16S ribosomal RNA". It matches the Rfam family "Bacterial small subunit ribosomal RNA", at positions 524 to 776 of the family's 1533-position model. The record is from RNAcentral.